CCAUAAAGUUGUUCUCAGUUCGGAUUGUAGUCUGCAACUCGACUACAUGAAGCUGGAAUCGCUAGUAAUCGUAGAUCAGCAUGCUACGGUGAAUACGUUCCCGGGUCUUGUACACACCGCCCGUCACACCACGAGAGUUUGUAACACCCGAAGCCGGUGGAGUAACCUUUUGGAGCUAGCCGUCGAAGGUGGGACAAAUGAUUGGGGUGAAGUCGUAACAAGGUAGCCGUAUCGGAAGGUGCGGCUGGAUCACCUCCUUUCUAAGGA
RNAcentral lists this ribosomal RNA (267 nucleotides) under Staphylococcus capitis. Its description in RNAcentral is "partial 16S ribosomal RNA". It matches the Rfam family "Bacterial small subunit ribosomal RNA", at positions 1274 to 1533 of the family's 1533-position model. The record is from RNAcentral. Lineage: Bacteria; Bacillati; Bacillota; Bacilli; Caryophanales; Staphylococcaceae.